This 264-nucleotide ribosomal RNA is filed under the name uncultured bacterium. RNAcentral's name for it is "partial 16S ribosomal RNA". It matches the Rfam family "Bacterial small subunit ribosomal RNA", at positions 90 to 354 of the family's 1533-position model. The record is from RNAcentral.
ACUGAGCGGCGGACGGGUGAGUAACGCGUGGGUAACCUGCCUUACACAGGGGGAUAACAGUUAGAAAUGACUGCUAAUACCGCAUAAGACCCCGGUACCGCAUGGUACAGAGGUAAAAACUGAGGUGGUGUAAGAUGGACCCGCGUCCGAUUAGGUAGUUGGUGAGGUAACGGCUCACCAAGCCGACGAUCAGUAGCCGGCCUGAGAGGGUGGACGGCCACAUUGGGACUGAGACACGGCCCAGACUCCUACGGAAGGCAGCAG